UGCCAGACUCCUACGGGAGGCAGCAGUGGGGAAUAUUGCACAAUGGGCGCAAGCCUGAUGCAGCCAUGCCGCGUGUAUGAAGAAGGCCUUCGGGUUGUAAAGUACUUUCAGCGGGGAGGAAGGCGCUAAGGUUAAUAACCUUGUCGAUUGACGUUACCCGCAGAAGAAGCACCGGCUAACUCCGUGCCAGCAGCCGCGGUAAUACGGAGGGUGCAAGCGUUAAUCGGGAUUACUGGGGGUAAAGCGCACGCAGGCGGGCUGUCAGGUCGGAUGUGAAAUCCCCGGGCUCAACCUGGGAACUGCAUUCGAAACUGGGAGGGUGGAGUCGUGUAGAGGGGGGGAGAAUUGCAGGUGUAGGGGUGAAAUGCGUA
Molecule: ribosomal RNA, 371 nt
Filed under: uncultured bacterium
Lineage: Bacteria
Description: bacterial SSU rRNA
Rfam family: Bacterial small subunit ribosomal RNA
Source: RNAcentral